UACGUAGGGACCGAGCGUUGUCCGGAAUCAUUGGGCGUAAAGAGCGUGUAGGCGGCUUGCUAAGUCUUGCGUGAAAUCUCGGGGCUCAACCCCGAGCGGUCGUGGGAAACUGGCAGGCUAGAGUGCGGGAGAGGAGAAUGGAAUUCCUGGUGUAGCGGUGGAAUGCGCAGAUAUCAGGAAGAACACCCGUGGCGAAGGCGGCUCUCUGGAACGCAACUGACGCUGAGACGCGAAAGCGUGGGGAGCAAACAGG
RNAcentral lists this ribosomal RNA (253 nucleotides) under uncultured bacterium. RNAcentral's name for it is "partial 16S ribosomal RNA". It matches the Rfam family "Bacterial small subunit ribosomal RNA", at positions 524 to 776 of the family's 1533-position model. The record is from RNAcentral.